This 465-nucleotide ribosomal RNA is filed under the name uncultured Klebsiella sp. RNAcentral describes it as "bacterial SSU rRNA". It matches the Rfam family "Bacterial small subunit ribosomal RNA", at positions 338 to 795 of the family's 1533-position model. Lineage: Bacteria; Pseudomonadati; Pseudomonadota; Gammaproteobacteria; Enterobacterales; Enterobacteriaceae. The record is from RNAcentral.
CCUACGGGUGGCUGCAGUGGGGAAUAUUGCACAAUGGGCGCAAGCCUGAUGCAGCCAUGCCGCGUGUGUGAAGAAGGCCUUCGGGUUGUAAAGCACUUUCAGCGGGGAGGAGGGCGGUGAGGUUAAUAACCUCAUCGAUUGACGUUACCCGCAGAAGAAGCACCGGCUAACUCCGUGCCAGCAGCCGCGGUAAUACGGAGGGUGCAAGCGUUAAUCGGAAUUACUGGGCGUAAAGCGCACGCAGGCGGUCUGUCAAGUCAGAUGUGAAAUCCCCGGGCUCAACCUGGGAACUGCAUUCGAAACUGGCAGGCUAGAGUCUUGUAGAGGGGGGUAGAAUUCCAGGUGUAGCGGUGAAAUGCGUAGAGAUCUGGAGGAAUACCGGUGGCGAAGGCGGCCCCCUGGACAAAGACUGACGCUCAGGUGCGAAAGCGUGGGGAGCAAACAGGAGUAGAUACCCGGGUAGUC